CAGCACCUCAAGUGGUCAGGAUGUUUAUUGGGCCUAAAGCAUCCGUAGCUUGCUAAGCAAGUCCCCUGUUAAAUCCACCGAUUCAAUCGAUGGUUUGCGGGGGAUACUGUUUGGCUAGGGGACGGGAGAGGUCGACGGUAUUUCCGGGGUAGGGGUGAAAUCCUAUAAUCCCGGGAGGACCACCAGUGGCGAAGGCUGUCGACUAGAACGCGCCCGACGGUGAGGGAUGAAAGCUGGGGGAGCGAACCGGAUUAGAUACCCGAGUAGUCC
Molecule: ribosomal RNA, 270 nt
Filed under: uncultured archaeon
Lineage: Archaea
Description: partial 16S ribosomal RNA
Rfam family: Archaeal small subunit ribosomal RNA
Source: RNAcentral